RNAcentral lists this ribosomal RNA (1343 nucleotides) under uncultured bacterium. RNAcentral describes it as "16S ribosomal RNA". It matches the Rfam family "Bacterial small subunit ribosomal RNA", at positions 28 to 1378 of the family's 1533-position model. The record is from RNAcentral.
GACGAACGCUGGCGGCGUGCUUAACACAUGCAAGUCGAACGGAAAGGCCCUGCUUUUGUGGGGUGCUCGAGUGGCGAACGGGUGAGUAACACGUGAGUAACCUGCCCUUGACUUUGGGAUAACUUCAGGAAACUGGGGCUAAUACCGGAUAGGAGCUCCUGCUGCAUGGUGGGGGUUGGAAAGUUUCGGCGGUUGGGGAUGGACUCGCGGCUUAUCAGCUUGUUGGUGGGGUAGUGGCUUACCAAGGCUUUGACGGGUAGCCGGCCUGAGAGGGUGACCGGCCACAUUGGGACUGAGAUACGGCCCAGACUCCUACGGGAGGCAGCAGUGGGGAAUAUUGCACAAUGGGCGGAAGCCUGAUGCAGCAACGCCGCGUGCGGGAUGACGGCCUUCGGGUUGUAAACCGCUUUCGCCUGUGACGAAGCGUGAGUGACGGUAAUGGGUAAAGAAGCACCGGCUAACUACGUGCCAGCAGCCGCGGUGAUACGUAGGGUGCGAGCGUUGUCCGGAUUUAUUGGGCGUAAAGGGCUCGUAGGUGGUUGAUCGCGUCGGAAGUGUAAUCUUGGGGCUUAACCCUGAGCGUGCUUUCGAUACGGGUUGACUUGAGGAAGGUAGGGGAGAAUGGAAUUCCUGGUGGAGCGGUGGAAUGCGCAGAUAUCAGGAGGAACACCAGUGGCGAAGGCGGUUCUCUGGGCCUUUCCUGACGCUGAGGAGCGAAGGCGUGGGGAGCGAACAGGCUUAGAUACCCUGGUAGUCCACGCUGUAAACGGUGGGUACUAGGUGUGGGGUCCAUUCCACGGGUUCCGUGCCGUAGCUAACGCUUUAAGUACCCCGCCUGGGGAGUACGGCCGCAAGGCUAAAACUCAAAGGAAUUGACGGGGCCCCGCACAAGCGGCGGAGCAUGCGGAUUAAUUCGAUGCAACGCGUAGAACCUUACCUGGGUUUGACAUGGAUCGGGAGUGCUCAGAGAUGGGUGUGCCUCUUUUGGGGUCGGUUCACAGGUGGUGCAUGGCUGUCGUCAGCUCGUGUCGUGAGAUGUUGGGUUAAGUCCCGCAACGAGCGCAACCCUUGUUCACUGUUGCCAGCACGUUAUGGUGGGGACUCAGUGGAGACCGCCGGGGUCAACUCGGAGGAAGGUGGGGAUGACGUCAAGUCAUCAUGCCCCUUAUGUCCAGGGCUUCACGCAUGCUACAAUGGCUGGUACAGAGAGUGGCGAGCCUGUGAGGGUGAGCGAAUCUCGGAAAGCCGGUCUCAGUUCGGAUUGGGGUCUGCAACUCGACCUCAUGAUGUCGGAGUCGCUAGUAAUCGCAGAUCAGCAACGCUGCGGUGAAUACGUUCCCGGG